RNAcentral lists this small RNA (550 nucleotides) under Curvularia sp. R7-19. RNAcentral's name for it is "eukaryotic LSU rRNA". The stretch from base 190 to 343 matches the Rfam family "5.8S ribosomal RNA". Lineage: Eukaryota; Fungi; Ascomycota; Dothideomycetes; Pleosporales; Pleosporaceae. The record is from RNAcentral.
AGGGAUCAUUACACAAUAAACAUAUGAAGGCUGCACCGCCAACAGGCGGCAAGGCUGGAGUAUUUUAUUACCCUUGUCUUUUGCGCACUUGUUGUUUCCUGGGCGGGUUCGCCCGCCUCCAGGACCACAUGAUAAACCUUUUUUAUGCAGUUGCAAUCAGCGUCAGUACAACAAAUGUAAAUCAUUUACAACUUUCAACAACGGAUCUCUUGGUUCUGGCAUCGAUGAAGAACGCAGCGAAAUGCGAUACGUAGUGUGAAUUGCAGAAUUCAGUGAAUCAUCGAAUCUUUGAACGCACAUUGCGCCCUUUGGUAUUCCAAAGGGCAUGCCUGUUCGAGCGUCAUUUGUACCCUCAAGCUUUGCUUGGUGUUGGGCGUUUUUUGUCUUUGGUUUUGUCCAAAGACUCGCCUUAAAACGAUUGGCAGCCGGCCUACUGGUUUCGCAGCGCAGCACAUUUUUGCGCUUGCAAUCAGCAAAAGAGGACGGCACUCCAUCAAGACUCUAUAUCACUUUUGACCUCGGAUCAGGUAGGGAUACCCGCUGAACUUAA